GGUCUCUUCGGAGAUACACGAGUGGCGCACGGGUGCGUAACACGUAUGCAACCUACCCUUCAGCGGGGGAUAGUCGCGGGAAACUGCGAAUAAUACCCCAUAUGCUCACGAACUGGCAUCUGUUUGUGAGGAAAGCUCCGGCGCUGAGGGAUGGGCAUGCGCCCCAUUAGCUAGUUGGCGAGGUAACGGCUCACCAAGGCAACGAUGGGUAACUGGUCUGAGAGGAUGAUCAGUCACACGGGCACUGAGACACGGGCCCGACUCCUACGGGAGGCAGCAGUAAGGAAUAUUGGACAAUGGGCGCAAGCCUGAUCCAGCCAUGCCGCGUGGUGGAUGACGGCCCUCCGGGUUGUAAACACCUUUUAUUUGGGGAUAAUGGUUUCCUAUAUGGAAGCUUGCAGGUACCAGAUGAAUAAGCACCGGCUAACUACGUGCCAGCAGCCGCGGUAAUACGUAGGGUGCAAGCGUUGUCCGGAUUUAUUGGGUUUAAAGGGUGCGUAGGCGGCUGAUUAAGUUAGUGGUGAAAUCUUCCGGCUCAACCGGAUACCCGCCAUUGAUACUGGUCAGCUUGAGUGUGUUUAAGGAGAUUGGAACGCGUAGUGUAGCGGUGAAAUGCAUAGAUAUUACGCAGAACGCCAAUUGCGAAGGCAGAUCUCUGGGACAUAACUGACGCUGAGGCACGAAAGCGUGGGGAGCGAACAGGAUUAGAUACCCUGGUAGUCCACGCCGUAAACGAUGAUCACUAGGUGUUCGGCCAUUAUGGCUGGGUGCCCAAGCGAAAGCGAUAAGUGAUCCACCUGGGGAGUACGUUCGCAAGAAUGAACUCAAAGGAAUUGACGGGGGCCCGCACAAGCGGUGGAGC
Molecule: ribosomal RNA, 862 nt
Filed under: marine bacterium enrichment culture clone O11-H6-S7
Lineage: Bacteria
Description: bacterial SSU rRNA
Rfam family: Bacterial small subunit ribosomal RNA
Source: RNAcentral